This 497-nucleotide ribosomal RNA is filed under the name uncultured bacterium. RNAcentral's name for it is "partial 16S ribosomal RNA". It matches the Rfam family "Bacterial small subunit ribosomal RNA", at positions 28 to 507 of the family's 1533-position model. The record is from RNAcentral.
GAUGAACGCUGGCGGCGUGCCUAAUACAUGCAAGUCGAGCGAACGGACGAGAAGCUUGCUUCUCUGAUGUUAGCGGCGGACGGGUGAGUAACACGUGGAUAACCUACCUAUAAGACUGGGAUAAUUUCGGGAAACCGGAGCUAAUACCGGAUAAUAUUUUGAACCGCAUGGUUCAAAAGUUAAAGACGGUCUUGCUGUCACUUAUAGCUGGAUCCGCGCUGCAUUAGCUAGUUGGUAAGGUAACGGCUUACCAAGGCAACGAUGCAUAGCCGACCUGAGAGGGUGAUCGGCCACACUGGAACUGAGACACGGUCCAGACUCCUACGGGAGGCAGCAGUAGGGAAUCUUCCGCAAUGGGCGAAAGCCUGACGGAGCAACGCCGCGUGAGUGAUGAAGGUCUUCGGAUCGUAAAACUCUGUUAUUAGGGAAGAACAUAUGUGUAAGUAACUGUGCACAUCUUGACGGUACCUAAUCAGAAAGCCACGGCUAACUACGUG